Molecule: transfer RNA, 73 nt
Filed under: Phlebia radiata
Lineage: Eukaryota; Fungi; Basidiomycota; Agaricomycetes; Polyporales; Meruliaceae
Description: tRNA-Lys(AAA)
Rfam family: tRNA
About the family: Transfer RNA (tRNA) molecules are approximately 80 nucleotides in length.
Source: RNAcentral
GGAAGUAUAACUCAAUUGGUAGAGUAUUGGUCUUUUAAACUAAAAGUUGUUGGUUCGAGCCCAAUUACUUCCU